GGCAGAAAGACAGUAAACAAGUAAACAGAUCACACUUGUAGCAGCUCUGUUGCCAUUCGGACCCGACUGGGUCCUGGAGUCCGUGCUAUUGGCCGGGGAGGCGGCCCUGAGGGCGGGCCGGGGCGGGGCCCGGCGUUUUAUAUGGUCGCGCGCGCGGGCCCCUAGCCGUAGACAAUACGCCUCCCGGCUCGAGCGCUGCGGCCGCCGCCACCGUCACCGCCAUUGCCACCGCCGACGCGAGAGAAGAAAUGUAUCAAGCAAGACCCCUCUCUAGGAACUUCUUUUUGUACACCUUCCUGCAAAACCAUGGCCCUGGCUUCCUGGAUGACCAAGGUGAGGGGCUACCCGGCGUGACCAAUAUCUUGGAGUUCCACCCUGUCUCCCCCUACAGGUAGGUCCCAAUUGCCUCUGGGCCCUGCCCACCCCCAUUCCUGGUCAGUGACCGUGGCCGGGUGGUUAGCAGAGCCUUCUGGGUUCUCCAGACAGGGCUGCAGAGUGGAAAUUCCCUGGGUGUGGUCACGCAGGCAGGUGCCCUGGGCGAGGCAGCUGUGCUCUGACAGCAGCUCACAGAGGGGCCCCUCAGAGCACCCAGCAUAUUCAUAGUCCCCGGAUGGCACUGGCCAUCAAAAUGACUCAAGCUUGUGGCCUUAAGACAGGGUGCCUCCUGGCCCUCAGGACCACAGUCACCUCAAGGCCUCUUAAGAGAUGGAUUCAGUUUUAGAAAGUCAGAAGGAGGCCACUUCAGAUGCAGACCUGACCCAGUUGUCAGGGCAGCCAGGAAGAGAUUGUCCCAGCAUCAGCACCAGGGUUCUGGAUGCUUCCCCCUGCUUUAGGCCUCAGGAAUCGCUUAGCCGUUAGGUCCUGGACUUGGGGUUUGGGACUGGUCGGGACUUUAGGGCUGGAGGGACCUGAAAAUCUGCCACCUGCCCUUCCACGCUGCAUCUGUAGAUGGAGCCUGGGGCAGUGUUGUCCUGACUUGAACCCAACCCACUACCUGAUUGCUGGCCAGCCCUCCCUAGCAAACCCCUACCCCAGACUGGGCAGAUGGCCAAGGCUAGGCUGGGAGGGGCUCAGGGUCCUGGGAAUUCCCAGCCAAGUCACCGGGGUGGAAUGUGGGCAGCCCGCUGAGAGCAGAGCUGAAGCUGGCCCAGGUGCCCAGUGGGCGUGUGCACGGCCCCGUUUCCAUCAGGGACUCAUUCAGUGAGAAUGGGGGGCCUAGACAGGGGCCAGGUAGCCCCCCCUUUCUGAGAAGGGGUGGUACCAUCAGAGGUAAUCUCAGGAUUGGGGUCCAGGGGACAUGUGCCAGGGUCCCUCCCAGGGUUCUCUGGGGCACUCAGUCAUCCUGGGAGGGGAAAGGGAAGCUGCCUGCUGUCACAGGCUCUCAGUGUCUCCCUGCACUCCCACAAGGGGGGGCGGUGGGCACAGGCUUCUCCUGGGCAGCCCUCUCCCCGGGGUCUAGGACUUGCACUCCAGGGGAGGGGACCCCACGGGCUUCUUCUGAAGCAAAGUGGGAGCCAGAGGAGGGGUGUGUGAUGGUUCCCUGCCCCCGAACCUCGCGACGAACCUGUCGGUCUGGGGCUGUGGGUCACCAGCGCAACAGCUAGCUCCCUGUGGCCUCCCUGCAGUGAUGGCCCCCAUUACUUGGCCAUGCAGCUGGCCUCCAUUGCUGACGAGAUGGAGCUGAGGCUGCUGCUACCCCAGUUCGUCGAGCCCAUCCGGAUGACCGUGUACAGCCACAUAGGACUGAGGGACAUUCUUAGAAGUUUUAUGGUGGCUUUCACUAACCUCAGGGAGAACAGAAGCCUCUGGAGCUUCCUGACCCUCAGGGACAGGGUGUCCCCCAGCCCGUGGCCCGAGCUGGCGCUGUCCCUGCUGCUGGUGGUGACGCUCAGCUGGGGGCGCCGCCUCCACUGACCCGCUGCUGGCCCACGUGGGGUGGGGCUGGCCCCCCGCCCGCUCCGCCACCACCCUGGAGGUGGCCUUGUCGGUUUGGCUGGCUUUUAACUUUUCUGUUGCCCCUUUUUUAUAUUUAAACUCCGAGUGCUGGGACACUGAGGUUCAUACUAGUUUUUCCCUUGUUUUUGUAAGAGAAAUGAAUUUAUUUUACCUCUGGGGUCAUUACUGGUUAAUGACCUGCUCUCCUGGCCCCAGCCUGCUCUGCGGGGGCCUGUCCUGAGGAGGAGCCUCCCUCUCUGGGGUCGGUCAAAUAGUGCGCAGCGGGGGGAGUGCUGGCCACACCCCCGUAUCCGUGAUGCCGGUGGCAAAAAGAAUGUGCUGGAUAGAUUUCUGCGGGGUGGGGAGAGCUCAAUAAAAUGUUGGUUUCCA
This is an RNA transcript of Aethalodelphis obliquidens (Pacific white-sided dolphin), 2325 nucleotides long. It is a transcript of the gene named BCL2 interacting killer, with no coding region annotated. The transcript is spliced from 4 exons. Lineage: Eukaryota; Metazoa; Chordata; Mammalia; Artiodactyla; Delphinidae. The record is from RefSeq and is a predicted model, not a curated record.